UACAGAGGUCCCAAGCGUUGUUCGGAUUCACUGGGCGUAAAGGGUGCGUAGGUGGUGGGGUAAGUCGGAUGUGAAAGCUCGGAGCUCAACUCUGAAAUGGCAUUGGAAACUACCCUGCUAGAGGAUUGGAGGGGGGACUGGAAUACUUGGUGUAGCAGUGAAAUGCGUAGAUAUCAAGUGGAACACCAGUGGCGAAGGCGAGUCCCUGGACAAUACCUGACACUGAGGCACGAAAGCUAGGGGAGCAAACAGG
Molecule: ribosomal RNA, 253 nt
Filed under: uncultured bacterium
Lineage: Bacteria
Description: partial 16S ribosomal RNA
Rfam family: Bacterial small subunit ribosomal RNA
Source: RNAcentral